RNAcentral lists this ribosomal RNA (1590 nucleotides) under Triticum aestivum (bread wheat). RNAcentral's name for it is "partial small subunit ribosomal RNA". Lineage: Eukaryota; Viridiplantae; Streptophyta; Magnoliopsida; Poales; Poaceae. The record is from RNAcentral.
AUGCUAGAACAUUUGUUGGGUUUUGAGAGAUGGUGGGAAAUAGAUGAGAGGCAAGAAGAACAGACAAUAUUUCCUGUGCUUGAGAAGUUGUUUAUUAGUCAUUGUGGAAAGUUGGUAGCAUUUCCUGAAGCACCAUUGCUGCAAGGACCUUGUGGUGAAGGUGGUUAUACAUUGGUACGCUCAGCAUUUCCUGCCCUAAAGGUACUCAAAAUGAAAUGCUUGGGGAGCUUUCAGAGAUGGGAUGCAGUCGAAGGGCCAUUGUUUCCUCAGCUUGAGAAACUAUCAGUUGAGAAUUGCCCAAAGAUAAAAGAUUUACCUGAAGCACCAAAUCUCAGUGUAUUAAAAAUUGUAGAUGGCAAACAAGAGAUCUUCCACUGUGUAGACAAGUAUUUGUCUUCAUUGACCAAUCUGACACUGAUGCUAGAAUACACUUCAAUUCUACCUGUGGACAGCAAAGAGAAAUGGAACCAUAAAUCCCCUCUUACAGUUGUGAAGAUAGGAUGCUGCAACUCAUUCUUUGGACCAGGUGCACUAGAGCCGUGGGAGUAUUUUGUACACCUCGAGAAGUUGGAAAUUUAUAGGUGCGACGUGCUCGUCCACUGGCCAGAGAAAGUGCUUCAAAGCUUGGUAUCCUUAAGGACAUUAGUGAUUAGAAACUGCGAAAAUCUGACUGGAUAUGCACAAGCUCCUCUUGAGCCAUUGACAUCCGAAAGGUGUGAACACCUGAGAGGUCUGGAGUCUCUUUGCUUACAAAACUGCCCAAGUUUAGUAGAGAUGUUCAACGUCCCGACAUCUCUGAAGAAAAUGGAUAUUAGAUGGUGCAUUAAGCUUGAGUCCAUAUUCAGCAAGCAGCAGGGCAUGUCAGAUUUAGUCCAAGGAUCUUCUAGCAGUGAGGCAGUCAUGCGUGCAACUGUAUCAGAAUUGUCCUCUUCACCCGUGAAUCACUUUUUACCAUGCCUCGAAGAUUUAUAUUUAUUUGCAUGUGGAAGCUUACCAGCGGUUCUAAAUCUCCCUCUGUCCUUAAAGGCCUUAGAAAUUGAUGGUUGCAACGGUAUUCAAGUCCUAUCAUGCCAGUCGGGUGGGCUCCAGAAACCAGAAGUCACUACCUCCAUAAGCAGAAGUCCUAUCAUGCCAGAGCCAGCAGCAACAACAACUGCAAUAGAGCAUUUAUUUCCUCCCCAUCUCGAAUCUCUAGUAAUACGGGAUUGUGCUGGCAUGUUGGGUGGGACUCUCUGCCUGCCUGCACCCCUCAAGAGACUGGGUAUUAUUGGCAACAGUGGGUUGACAUCGCUGGAGUGUCUGUCGGUUGAGCACCCCCCAUCGCUGGAAGAACUUGAACUUAAAAGCUGUUGUACCCUGGCAUUCCUGCCGAAUGAGCCGCAAGUAUACAGGUCUCUCUUGUUUCUUAUAAUUAGAGGCUGCCCUGCUAUAAAGAAGCUCCCUAGAUGCCUGUGGCAGCAACUGGGCAGCAUCAAAGGCAAAUAUCUAGAUGCCGGUUAUGAAGUAACGGAAUUCAAACCACUGAAACCGAAGACAUGGGAGGAAAUACCGAGGCUAGUCCGUGAGCGGAGGCAGGCCAGCCGGAGUUGA